UGGGCGUUACUCAUCUGGCUGAUGAGGGCAGGUUGUGACCCUGUGAAGGCGGGUUCGAUUCCCGUACGCCCAA
This 73-nucleotide transfer RNA is filed under the name Polyangium mundeleinium. RNAcentral describes it as "tRNA-His". It matches the Rfam family "tRNA". Rfam says of the family: Transfer RNA (tRNA) molecules are approximately 80 nucleotides in length. The record is from RNAcentral. RNAcentral also lists the same sequence under 2 other names. Lineage: Bacteria; Pseudomonadati; Myxococcota; Polyangiales; Polyangiaceae.